AUACGGAAGAUGCGAGCGUUAUCCGGGUUUAUUGGGUUUAAAGGGAGCGUAGGCGGGAGCUUAAGUCUGCGGUCAAAUGUCGGCGCCCAACGCCGUCAAGCCGUGGAAACUGGGUUUCUUGAAUGCGGUCAAGGGAGGCGGAACUCGCCAUAUAGCGGUGAAAUGCUUAGAUAUGGCGAAGAACCCCGAUUGCGAAGGCAGCCUCCUGGCCCGUGAUUGACGCUGAGGCUCGAAAGCGCGGGUAUCGAACAGGAUUAGAUACCCUGGUAGUCCGCGCCGUAAACGAUGAGUGCUGGUCGUUGGCGACACAAUGUCAGGGACUGAGCGAAAGCAUUAAGCACUCCACCUGGGGAGUACGCCGGCAACGGUGAAACUCAAAUGAAUUGGCGGGG
Molecule: ribosomal RNA, 392 nt
Filed under: uncultured bacterium
Lineage: Bacteria
Description: partial 16S ribosomal RNA
Rfam family: Bacterial small subunit ribosomal RNA
Source: RNAcentral